GAUUGUGGAUGCCCCAUCCCUGGCGGUGCCCAAGGCCAGGCUGGAUGGGGCCCUGGGCAGCCUGAUCUGCUGGAGGCCACCAACCCACUGCAAGGGUUGGGCCUGGGGGGGCUUUAAGGUCACUUCCAACCCAAGCCAACCUGAUUCUACAAUUCUAUGUGUGACUGUGCCAACUUUACUCUUCAGUGCAAGAAAACUAGUAAAAGAUCAUUUGGUGGACACAAAGAAGCAGCUAAACAAGAGUCUCCAAUCCAGGAGCACAGUAAAUGCAUUACAACAGAAGAAAUUAGGCUCUGAACCAACUACAGCUUCUUCAGACAGCUUCAGACCACGAAUAUGGCGCAGACAGUGAAUCCAGGGACCAGACCAGACUGACUCUUAGCUGGUGGAUAACUUAGUGUGGCACAGAUGUAAGACCUUUUGCAUCUCACUUCUGUUUAUUGAUCUACCCCUAACUACUUACUAACGUAAACAUUUUCUCAUGCCAGGCUGAGAUUGCUGUUACUCGAGAGUUCUUCUGCAGAGGAAUAAUCUCUGUGAAUUGUUACAAACUGUCACUAAUUAGAGCAGUUCCCCAGUUCUUACAUCACUUGCUGCUAGGACUCCCCUGCACCACAAACCGACCGUUGGCGUUCAAUGAUGCUCACACCGGAAACCCUUCUCAUGUGGAGGAGAUGUUACCAAAAUAUACUGGAGGAGGGAGGAGAGCGCUGCUGAAUACGCAGCUUGAGCUGCUUAAAGGAGAAUGGGUGUGACCCUCCAGUGAACCCCUGAUUUGUAUACAGCAGCAGAGGGCACUAGAUAACAAGCAACAAUUUUCUGUAUAUUGCUAUAGAUCUUCCCGUUCUAUCUCAGAUACUGUUUGACUCCUCGCCCAGCAGGCAGCUGGAGCUGCCAUGCACAUAGAGAGCAGAGGGCAGGACAGGGGAAGGGGCUGCCAGCACAGGCAGGUACCACAGCCCAGCGACUCACUGCCAGCAGUAUUUCACAGCCUCACACAGCUCUGCCCAGAGCUAGAAUAGUGAAACAACUAGCCUCGGGGCCACUUAAUGCAGCCACACCUGACUCUGUGAAUGCUACUGCUUUGGCCAAACCCCGUGGCCUAUCAGCUCUGGUGAAGGUGGCAUGGAUGCUGUGUGGGCACCUGCCUUUGCAUUGGACAUUGUGUUUCAGAGGUUUCAGCCUGAACUUUUGUUUUUACUGCUUUUUGGAAAUGUCUGAAUCUGCUGAAUUGUACAGAGUUGUCUGGAUAUUUGAAGUCUUUACACAUCACUUCACUUCAGCAGCCUGAAUUUGCUGCCCAUAAAAGCAGAGCAUCUUGAAAACCUUCCAAACUGUUUAGGCAAUGAAUUCAAAAUUGGAAAGCAAGACUUGGAGCUAGCACUCCAAACAGUCAGGUUUGAUUCUUCUCAUUUUCUGUGUGGUGCAGGUGAAACAGAGAGCAUGGCCUGCCCAUCACCACCAUGCCCACUUUAUAUCUCUCCUCCUAAUGGGCCAGGCACAGGAAGCCUUGAGUACUUAUUGCUAGUAUUCCCUGUGCAAAACUAGUCACUUCCUCCGCACUGUGAAAAUGUUUCUUGGGCGAAUCCUUCUCCUUCCCACACGCGACCUUCGGAGGACACCGGGGGGCAGUGCAGCUCUAAUUUGGAUCAAAAAGCCAUCGGGCAGAUGAUCUGCGCAAGGGAAAGCAAGCCUCUAGUUUCUACCAUUUCCCUCCUUAUUUCACACAGCAACCCACCCAUAGUUACACCCUUUAAAUCAGAGCUGUCUUCCUCAGCCUCCACAUUUGCAGCCAAUAUCUAUAAUGCCAAAGGGGAAAAAAGAUAGAAGAAAAAUGAGGAAGAAUGAAUGGGAAAAAAAAGACAAGGGUAGCAUCUUUUUCCUAAAUGUAACGAAGUAGCUCUAUUGGUGCCACUGGGAACCAAGCCCUCGAAAGUGCUGAUCACACACGGUCGCUCUGCAGUGCUACAUCACAAGCGCUGAUGGCCCCAAAGCAGACCAAGGUGUCUGAAAUCAGUCUCUCAGUGGUCCCUAGUAGCAGCUCUGCAGGAUGAAGCUCUUCAGGCUUCUCUUGGACUGCAGCAACAAGGGCGCUGCAGGGGCCUGGUGAGGUGACAGGGAAAUCCAUCAGCUCCUUUUCUCACAUUGGUCUGUUUCAACAUCUUAAAUACUACUGAAUAACUCAUGAUAGGCAGAGCCUCUCAAGAAGAUUUAAGACUGUAAUAAAAAGGCAGUGCCAGAGGAUGCCAGUGUACUGAUUUUUUUUUAAAUAUAUUUUUGGAAUAACAAUUAAUUGCCAAUAGAAUUAAGUGCUUCCUGGAAACGAAGACUAAAAAUUCUUCCCACAGUUUGAUGCCAUCUUGAACAAGGAGAUGAAAGAUUCCGUUAUGGGUCAAAAAGCCAUAACUGCAAUAUGUAAGCCAUGGGUGUCCAACCUUCCAGCUUGUCACACUGAGUGAGGAGGAAUUGUC
Long non-coding RNA from Numida meleagris (helmeted guineafowl), 2471 nucleotides. RefSeq lists it as uncharacterized. The transcript has 3 exons. The record is from RefSeq and is a predicted model, not a curated record. Lineage: Eukaryota; Metazoa; Chordata; Aves; Galliformes; Numididae.